This is a long non-coding RNA of Parus major (Great Tit), 6431 nucleotides long. RefSeq lists it as uncharacterized. The record is from RefSeq and is a predicted model, not a curated record. The transcript has 2 exons. Lineage: Eukaryota; Metazoa; Chordata; Aves; Passeriformes; Paridae.
CAGGAGCAGGUGCUUCCUGCGCUGUGCGCCCGGCCCGGCCCGCUGCCCCGGCCUGCCGCAGGCCCGCGCCCGUGUUUGCUGGGCUCGGGCCUGCGUCUCCCCCGGGAGCGUGGGAGCCCGCAGGGAGGGGAUGGCCACACGCCACAGACACCAGCGGGCACGGGGAGCCACUCACGGAGCGUGGGUGCGGUGUGGGAAUGGCUGCCUGGGGAUGCUGCUCUGCCUGGCCUCACCCGAGGGUGAAGGUUAUGAGAGGUUUCUGGAGGCGUCCCAGAGGAGGAAACUGGGCGUCUGAAAAGCAUCUGGCGUGUCUCUCCACCUUAAACAUGAAGUGAACGUUGUGAGAUGGACAUACACCUCAAAGGCUGCAUUUCCCAGCAUUUCUUUGCAAAUGAGCUUCCCACACAAAGCUCCUUGGAAAACGUACUUCUGCUCAGAGCCCCUUCCAUGGCUUUGGCUCUCCUGUGCACUUGCACCUUUUCACAACCCCCUCUGCACCUGCAGAGGCUUUCUUGCAACUAUCGUCCCUUUGCACUGCCUCAAGGAGAACAGGGUGGCAGCCAUCCAUGAGGAAGAAAUCCACUUCCACACCAUACCGCAUCACAGGCAAGAGUAUUCCAGUCUGAGGAAUCAGGAUGUCACCCUCAUCCCCACAGCCAUCCCACCUCCCAGGAAUCUGCAGAGGACAAGAUCAAACUAUUACACAUUUCUUUUUUCCACCAAAGCUGAAGGAGAGGCAGCUUGUGGAAGUGUCCCAGGUUCCCUCAAGAGCAUUUUCUGGUUGGUGCUUUGUGCAGGUGGAAAUGCAGCUGGAGACAGAGCAUGGGAAAUGCAGACAAGGUGACUGCUGCUGGCAGCAGAGAUGAGCAAGGAGAACCAGGGCUGAUACUUUACCCUUGCUCUUAAGCUGGCUACCCAGCAGGACUUGCUUUGUGUUGUUACCUUGGUAGGUGGAGGGAGGGGUGGUUCCCCAGAGGCUGUAGUGUAAAAAGUGGGUAUUGAAUAACCGGUUUUCUGAUUAUCUUUAAUCCAGUCCAACUCUAGGUUUCCAGAUGACCUGUUGAUCUUCUGCAUCAUACCUAGGGGUAUUGCUCUGGCAGUGAUUUGGGUUUGCUUGUUAAUUCUACAGAAAACUAAUUUACAAAAAAAAAGGAAAAAGAAGAUUCUGUUGGUUCUUUCUGUAGCCUCUAGGAUCACAACUUCCAGUGCAAGGGAGGUGCCAGGAUCGGAUGGGUAGGAGCAGGCAGGAAGAGCAGGACUACCCUUUCACCAGCAGCCCAUGGUCAGAUCAGAUUAAACCUAAAUGGGAAACUGCACCUUGAGGGUCAACAGAUAUUAUUCCUGGUCAUUGUGCAGCCCCGUUGUCCCCAUUGUUCAUGUCUAUUUUGCAUGGGUGUAGCCCUCCUGGUAUGAGUACAGUUACUUGUGCAACAUCUGUACAGGUCUUGGAGAGAAGCUGAGGUUCACUGAUUUAAAAGCACAUCCUCCCAAGAGCUGAGCUUUAGUGCUGAAUUGUACAGAGGAUCAGCCAUGAACAGGGUCAACAUGAUCUAUCUGAAUUAAGCCAUCCAGGAGAAGAAAGCUUUCUAAAAAUCAUCUCACCUUCCAAUAAAUAAAAGGAUAAAUUUGAAAGAAGGAAAGCUUUUGGGCAUUGAUAAGGAAACAAGAGUGCUGGGUGAAAAUAAUCAGAAAUACCCUUCAGCAAAUUGCAGCACCUGCGCUUUAUCUACAGAUGGUUUUAUUCAGGUCAUGAUGAACUGUCAAUCCUGUACAUAAGAGCAAAAAAAGUGAAUCAUCAGUAUGAACUGAGAAAACACCCUGUCUGUCCUCAAUUCUGGCUGGCAGCGCAGGUAAUGAUUUAUUCUCAUUUCUGUGUAUUUCAUGUCGGCCUGGUCAAUAUUCCUCACAAUAAAAUCCUAAAGAGGAAUUUUAGUAAUAAAAAAGUCAGACAACAGAACAGGGGUUAGGAUCCCCUGAACUGAUCAGUCCCAGGGUGUUUGCUGGUGGAAGGGAGGUGCUGAUAACCUGGGCAGAUAUUCAGGCUUCCGUUUGUUUUGCUGCCCCACUUAAUCCUGGCUGUGGCUGAAGCCAGCAAUGCAUCAGUUAGAUUAAUGAGCUGAACUAAAACCAAUGCUCAAGCUUCAAGUACAGCUCUCCUGUUUAACACUGUGAGCUCCACUAUCAACCACAACAAAGUUCAGAUACAGCUCACCAUUAAGAAACCCCUUUUUCUCCCUGUUUGUUUUACUGCAGUGAUUAAGGAGAGGCUGUGACCUGAAGCCCUGGUGAUGGAGGCCUGUGUCAACCCUUAGGUUGGGCAGAGAAGGGGCUGAGCUCAUUCAGCUUUUUUCACCUGCUGCUGCCACCACAGUCUCUGUUCCCAUCCAAAGAGGGGCUGGGCAGUGAACUGCAACUCAGCUGGCUUCAGGGAGAAACCUCUGGGGAAACCCAGGCCAGAAAACAUUGUCUUGGCCUUAAAAGUCUACCAUUAAGUGCAAACAUUUCUUUAGGGGUUUCAUUUUGAAGUAGCUGUGACUGUUUUUUCAUGAUAAUAAAAAUUUUUCACAGCAUUUUAUUUAUUGUAUGUUUAGGGGUCCUUAAGGAAAGCCUGCCUCUUCCUUUGUAACUCAGUUCUGCUCAGAUAUUUUAGGAAACCACAGCACUGAAGAUGCACAAAGAGGAAAGCUGAAUUACAACUGUGAGAAGAAGGGAUGUGAGUAAAGACUGUGAGUAAACAAAAAGCCAUUUUUAAGAGAGACCAAAAAAAAUUCAACUCAAGGAAGAAAGGGGGAAAGAAAAGGAAGGAAAGGAACUUCCCUCCUGCCAAGUGUAUAUGCCAACCCCCCACUCUAAGAAACAUCACUUCUCAUCAAAGCAAAAUGACAGGCUCAUGGCUGAGCUAAAAUGAAGACAUCCACUUCUGAGAUAAGACUCUGAAAAAUACAAGUUAAAUCAACUGCUCUUCAUGACAGUGGUGCUGAAGAGACUGACUACAGUCAAAGAGUCAGAUAAACAGGUGGAGAGCACAAAAAAGGCAAUUCUAACAGCUGGAGAGUCACUAUCAAUUAAUUUUGACUAUAAGAAGGGUUAUCCCAGCUUGGCAAGAUUGCUAUGAUGAUACAGAAUUUUUUCCUCCAGUUUGAAAGUGCAUGAGAAGGGAGCACAGUUCCUUUCCACUGCAAAUAGGUCAUUAUCUGUACCAAAGUACUGCCAGGUGCUCUGUUACUGAAAUCUUCUUGCCUGGAAUAAGGGACCCAAAUUCAAGAGAACAGAAAUCGGCUUCUGCCACACUAAGCAUUUCACCUUCACUCAGAGUAUGAAUUUUCGAUUGCCCCAUGUAGAAUUUCCAUGCAUGUGCUGUGAGCAUACUUCAUCUACCACAUCCAUGCUGGAGAGGAUAUUUACCUGUGACAGUGUCACCUUUGUGUGGUGUUUCUCAUCAAGAAAUGCCUAGAGCCAAAGCACUAGCUCCUCUCUUGCCUUUCAGUUACCUGAUGAGGCUGCAAAGGGGCAGGGGAAGGAAACGGAGGGAAGGGAAGUAGCCCAGACUCCUUGUAACACAGGGACAGGAAGGUAUCAGUAGCAAGAGCUUAAGCAGAGCUACUGCAGAGCUCAGUCAGGCCAUGAGGGCAGGUGGGACUGCGGCAGCUGCAGCUAAUGUGGGAAGUGAUGCUGCCCACACAACUUGUGCAGAAGCCUGUAGCCACUGUGUUGGGACAUUUCCACCAGCUCCCAGUCGUGCUUGUUCUCCCAGAGCUCCUCCCUCCUGGAUCCACUGGGUCUGCAUUACCUGCAGCUUGCAGAUUUGACAAGCUCAGCCCUAAGGGAGUCACAGAAAUGAGAAGCUGGGAAAGCAUCAGGGUCUUUCACCAGCAGGGAAAUCCCAGGAGUUUUGAAAAGAGCAAGAAGAAAUCUUCUGACAUCUUGUGAGUUCUUUACUCACUCAUAAAUUCUUUGCUUGUAAGCUUCUCCAAAACUGUGAAAAUCUAUGAGACUGCCUUCUGUUAGAGUAGUAGAGGAAACUUGGGGGAAUUUCCCCUGUCAUGCUAAAACUCAGGGACCAUUUAGUGUGUUACGAUUUGGCAAACGUGACUGUAAAAAAAGAGCUCCUCUCCUCUUCGCAGAUGAGCAUCAGCUCACUGCAAUUCCACCACAGCCAAAAGGCUCUGGAUGAAACUGAAAUGUGAGGCAGGCCAAACUAUUCCUACAAAUGGAGCAUUGUUGGACAGUAUAUCUUAUUUGCACUGGUGUAAAUUAAAAUGUAUAUUUAUUUCCAAUAGCAUAAGGAGCUGACAUGAAGGAAGAUCAAAGCCUGAAUGUAACUAACACCAGAAGCUGCAUUUACGUCAGCCAGAAGAGUGUCUUCGCCUGGAUAUUUUGUUCAGGGUUUUCUGUAUCUCUAAGGUUUUAUUUCCUUUUCCUAACCAUAAAAAUUAUAAAAUGUGAUUAACAUAAAGAUAAGAGGCAAGUAAAGCAGUGCCCUGACUGAGCUGAGAGUACCCUGACUCAGCUGGAACUGAAUACCUGCCAGCUCUAAAACUCCUUCCCCUUCCUCCUCCAUGACAGAGGAUGUUUAGGGCAGCAAUGGAAGGCAGUGCUGUAAGUGUUGCCCUGGGCUCUGUAGUACCCUGAGACAUAACCACAAAAAGACUGUUCUCUGAAACCCAGCUGUUUUUUGAACCUUCUUCUGCUCUUGAACAGCACCAUGAAUACUUGAAGCAACCCAGCUGAAGGCAGAUGAACUAAACCCUGCGUGGGCAUCUGACAGUAAGGGUUGAAGCCCAUCCUUCAUUGCAGGGCAAGCACCAUUUUGGUAUUGCUGUAACAUCAUUUCUGCUCUACACAAUCAAGGUGUGAGAUUUUUGCCCCAUUGCAGCUUUUGCUAACUGAGGCAAGAGGACUCUGAGGUGCAGCAACCCUGCUCAGAACUGGCAGGGGGCUAGGUACAGGCCCGUGUAUGUGGCUGCAUCCAGCCCAGGAGCAAUCAGAGCACAGGUAGAAAGUGAGUCCAAGAGAGCUCAGCUGCUGCUGUAGGAGCACUGGACAGAUACACAGCCCAGGAGGCAACACCACCCCCAGGCACAGCACAGGGCAGCAGCCAACAACAUACAGAGAGGUCACUACAGACCAGCCCAUCAUAGCCCCCCAAAACCAAGAAGUGAUGACUGUGUUGAUCUUUCAUGGUAAAAAAAUAGCCUUCAGGAAAACAGAGGACCAGAGAAGCAGACACUUAAAUCAGCGUGUCUACUCAUGAGAGUCUGACUCUUUAAGUUCUAGAGAAGCACAGCUGUGUUAUUUUACUACCAUAGCUAGAAGAUUAUUUAUAUGUGUGCAGUACAAUUUUUAACUCACAUUUCAGGCAUCUGUGUUUACUCUGCUGGAAGCAGGUCAAGCUAGGAAGUGUUCUAGUUCAUACUGACACGUACAGAAGGCUGUUCCCUGCUUCUGCUGAGAGCCUCUGAAAAGAAAAUACAACUGUUUGGAAAUAACUUUUGAAGUGAGCACUCCAUCUUGUUUCUUUGUAUUAGAGAAGGAGGGAGGAACACAGGGAAAGGCAAGUCAUAUUGGCACACAGAAUUUGGACUGUCUGGAGAUUAAGGGGGAUGAAUGGAGGAACUGCAAUGCAUCCUUCAUAGAAGUAUUUGAGUCUUUUGCAUGUUCAAGCAACUUUCUCUCUUGCCCUUUCUCUUGGGAUCAGAAGCAGUGUGAACAAGAGAGUCCUCUUCAAUGAAACUUGGUGUAUCCAUUUCCAUAUCCAUCCCAGGAUAUAAACACGUUGAUUUUAAAAAUCAUCUCCUGUGUGGGAGGCAGUUCCCUCCACCUUUGUCAGAGGAGUGAGGAAAAGACAGGUGGUGUCAUGGCAUAAUCCUGCACAGCUUCAGGAUGGAAGCAAGGUGAAUGCAAACCCUGAACAGACCAGAAUGGGAAAUAAGAUGAGAGUGAGUGCAGGACUCAGACAAACAAAGCCUUGCGGGAUGCUGAAGUUAGCAUCUGCAGUAAUCUGUAACUCUAUCACCCUGAGCUCCACAGUGCCACAGGCAGCCAUUGCUGCAUGGAUGUCAGUGUAGUUGCAUAAGCCACUGCAAGUCCUGCACCUACAAGCCAAGGAGACCUCUGGCACCCCUUGGUGUGGUUCUCAAGUGUACUUGAAAAUCACUGUGCAUGUCUGGGCAGUUUCCAACAAGCAGCCUGCAGAUGAGGAGUCCCUGUAUUGCACAGCUGGGACUGGACCCCUUUGCUGGGACCCUCUGGGUCAUGCUGGCACUCAGUAAAUGUCUGGCACAGUCUUCCCAAUGGGCUCAGAAUCCUACUUGCAUAGCCUGAUGUACUCAGGACAUGAAGCCACAGAAACCACUCUGUGAAAUCUUUUUUCUAGGCUACAUCUCACUGAACUCCUUCCACUAAACUAAUUAAAUGCUAAUUUACAGGAA